RNAcentral lists this ribosomal RNA (371 nucleotides) under uncultured organism. RNAcentral's name for it is "bacterial SSU rRNA". It matches the Rfam family "Bacterial small subunit ribosomal RNA", at positions 526 to 896 of the family's 1533-position model. The record is from RNAcentral.
CGUAGGGUGCGAGCGUUGCCCGGAUUUAUGGGCGUAAAGGGCGCGUAGGCGGCUCGGCACGUCCGUUGUGAAAUCGCCCGGCUCAACUGGGCGGGGUCAGCGGAUACGGCCGAGCUGGAGCAAGCUAGGGGGUAAUGGAAUUCCCGGUGUAGUGGUGGAAUGCGUAGAUAUCGGGAGGAACACCAGUGGCGAAGGCGGUUACCUGGAGCUUUGCCGACGCUGAUGCGCGAAAGCGUGGGGAGCGAUCCGGAUUAGAUACCCGGGUAGUCCACGCCGUAAACGAUGCGGACUAGGUGUCGGGGGUAUCGACCCCCUCGGCGCCGCAGCUAACGCAUUAAGUCCGCCGCCUGGGGACUACGGCCGCAAGGCUA